GGAAGUAAAAGUUGUAACAAGGUUUCCGUAGGUGAACCUGCGGAAGGAUCAUUAUUGUAUAACCGAGGUGCGAGGGCUGUCGCUGACCCGAAAGGUCGUGCACGCCCGAGUGCCCUCACACACAUCCAUCUCACCCCUAUGUGCACCACCGCGUGGGUCCCCCUUUGGCUUGUUCGGAGGGGGGCUUACGUUUUCACACAAACUUUGUAUGCAGUGUAGAAUGUAUUUUUUGUUUUUGCGAUCACGCAAUCAAUACAACUUUCAACAACGGAUCUCUUGGUUCUG
This 285-nucleotide unclassified non-coding RNA is filed under the name plant metagenome. RNAcentral's name for it is "partial contains small subunit ribosomal RNA, internal transcribed spacer 1, and 5.8S ribosomal RNA". The stretch from base 1 to 54 matches the Rfam family "Eukaryotic small subunit ribosomal RNA", at positions 1778 to 1831 of the family's 1831-position model. The record is from RNAcentral.